Actinia tenebrosa (Australian red waratah sea anemone) is the source of this 137-nucleotide small nucleolar RNA. RefSeq annotates it as U8 small nucleolar RNA. Lineage: Eukaryota; Metazoa; Cnidaria; Anthozoa; Actiniaria; Actiniidae. The record is from RefSeq and is a predicted model, not a curated record.
UCAUCAGAUAGGGUGAUCCUUACCUGCGCCUUUUUUAAAGGCUCAGUGAGGAAAGUGAUGAUUGGUAAGGUAUGAUCCUCGUGAAUUAUAUCGCUGGGACCGUAAGGCUGCAACACCUUACGGUACCUUCCUCUGAA